This 598-nucleotide long non-coding RNA is filed under the name Sinocyclocheilus grahami. Its description in RNAcentral is "lncRNA (ENSSGRG00000021632.1)". The record is from RNAcentral. Lineage: Eukaryota; Metazoa; Chordata; Actinopteri; Cypriniformes; Cyprinidae.
AGGGGAGCGGCUAUGGCGAGGGAAGUGGAAGCGGUCACGGUCAGGGAAGCGGUUAUGGCCAGGGGAGUGGUCACGGUCAGGGAAGCGGUUAUGGCCAGGGGAGUGGUCACGGUCAGGGAAGCGGUUAUGGCCAGGGGAGUGGUCACGGUCAGGGAAGCGGCUAUGGCCAGGGAAGCGGUCACGGGAGCGGUUAUGGCGAGGGAAGCGGUUAUGGUCAGGGGAGCGGCCAGGGUCAGGGAAGCGGUCACGGAAGUGGCUAUGGCCAGGGGAGCGGUUAUGGCGAGGGAAGCGGUCAUGGUCAGGGGAGCGGCCAGGGUCAAGGAAGUGGAAGCGGCCAGGGUCAAGGAAGGGGGAGCGGUCAUGGCCAGGGUCAGGGAAGUGGAAGCGGCCAGGGAAGCGGCUAUGGCGAGGGAAGCGGUCAUGGUCAGGGAAGCGGCUAUGGCGAGGGAAGCGGUCACGGAAGCGGUUAUGGUCAGGGGAGCGGCCAGGGUCAGGGAAGUGGGAGCGGCUAUGGCGAGGGAAGCGGUCAUGGUCAAGGAAGUGGAAGCGGCCAGGGGAGCGGCUAUGGCGAGGGAAGCGGUCAUGGUCAGGGAAGUGG